This 517-nucleotide ribosomal RNA is filed under the name uncultured kinetoplastid. RNAcentral describes it as "bacterial SSU rRNA". It matches the Rfam family "Eukaryotic small subunit ribosomal RNA", at positions 615 to 991 of the family's 1831-position model. Lineage: Eukaryota; Euglenozoa; Kinetoplastea. The record is from RNAcentral.
GCUGUUAAGGGUUCGUAGUUGAAUUGUGGGUGUCGAUGCGGGGUCCAAUCCUGUUCCCACGGUGCGGACACUCCCGAUUGACACUCGAGAACGUCAGAAACUAAUAUCACGGGAACGGUUUUUCCCGCCAGAUUCGCGAGCAAUGCACGCAGGCGGGCGCCCGUGUUUCAUUACUGUGCUAAAGAAGUGCGACCAAAGCAGUCCAUUCCGACAUGAAUUAGAAAGCAUGGGAUAACAAGCAGCAGCCUACGGGUCACCGUUUCGGCUUUUGUUGGUUUUAAAGGUCUGUGGGAGAUUCGGGUCAGCAUGACAGGCGUUGUUUGGGGUGGAACAAGCCCCCGCGCUUCCAACAGUCGUCGCCUCGGCGGCGGUCUGUCGGCUUGCUGUGCUCGGAAUGAAGGAGGGUUGCUCGGGGGGAACGUACUUGAGCGUGAGAGGUGAAAUUCUUAGACCGCUCAAAGACGAACUACAGCGAGGCAUUUUCCAAGGAUACCUUCAUCAAUCAAGAACCAAAGUG